UUUAAUUUUGUCGAGAACUAGUGCAAACAAACAAGAGAACCAAACCAAUUCUAAAACAACCCAACACAACAAGAGGACAAAAAAUCUACCCACAAAAUCCAAAUAUUGACUAAUAAUUAGAAAUAGCCAAGUAACAAAGGGGAUAGGAAACCAACCAAACACAUAGGGAUGAGAGUGACGUGAACAACACCGAUCCAAAAUAAAAGAAAAUUGAGAGAGAGAACAAACGGAACCGAAACUUACUGCAUAGAUGAAGGAGCAAUUGCCAUCAAACUUCCAACACCCUAAAGAAAUCAACCAAGCUCUUUGAUACCAUGUUAAGAAAAGAGAUUAUUCAUAGAGAAAGAGAAGCGGAGGCUAGGGUUUUUA
Molecule: long non-coding RNA, 369 nt
Filed under: Trifolium pratense (red clover)
Lineage: Eukaryota; Viridiplantae; Streptophyta; Magnoliopsida; Fabales; Fabaceae
Description: long non-coding RNA (TPRA_LNC009377)
Source: RNAcentral